Molecule: long non-coding RNA, 1638 nt
Organism: Clupea harengus (Atlantic herring)
Lineage: Eukaryota; Metazoa; Chordata; Actinopteri; Clupeiformes; Clupeidae
Source: Ensembl
GGGGGGGCAGAGCUCAUUGGGUGGGAUCUGAAAGGGGGGGGGGGGGGGGGGCACUCCACAGCCUCUGCGGGACAGUGGCCAGAACGCUAAGACUGUGUGGCGGAGCGAGAGAGACUUCUAGAGGUUCUGUUGAAAGAACACACUUGUUCAUGGUGAACAGAACACAGCAGACUGGACUGAGCUCGGCCUGACCUUGGCAAGAUCUGUCCUAGUCAGCUUAACAUGGGGAGUACUGGACUGUAUCCUUCAGUGUAUGCUUAUAUGAUUAAGACAGAGUGCUUUAGAAAUGUAUUGAAGAUAUAAAAGAUGUUUUUAAUUUUGUUGGUAUUUUAUUCCAUGUUCAUUGUAGAGGAUUUUUGUCAUUUGUCAUCGUUGUUUUUUUUUUCACCACUAAUCCAGGCUGUGUGAUUGUAUACCAUGAAAAUGCCAAAAUGUUAAGAAAUUAUUUAACCAAAUAGUUUUGUAUGUCAUCACCAUGGCUAAAACAGGGUUGAAAGGGAAAAUGCAGUCCACUGAGAUAUUUAAAGGUGUGUUGAUGCUGACUGGACCAGUUCAGUCCACUGAGAUACCGUACCAGUCAAAACUUUGGACACACCUUUAAAGUGUUUUCUUUACUUUUAUUAUUUUCUACAUUGUAGAUUAAUACUGAAAACAUUUAAACUAUGAAAGAACACAUAUGGAAUGAUGUACUAAACAAAAAAAGUGUUACCUACCAUGUAGAAAAUAAUAAAAGUAAAGAAAAAAACUUCUCCAAAAAUGAGAAGGUGUGUCCAAACUUUGGACUGGUACUGAGAUGUUUAAAGGUGUGUUGAUGCUGACUGGACCAACUUGUUGAGACACAAAAGAACAACUAAAGCCUGAACACAUUUUGCCCAGAUAUUGUUAACUAGUACAUAGCUACACUGUUGCCUUUGUCACUUCUGGUGGUGGUGGGUUAGGGAGCAUCCAGUUGGGUUUCUGCUUCACUGUAAUGGGCACUGUGUCUUUUAAGGCUGAGAGUUGGUGUGACGACACACACACACACACACACACACACGGAUUCCACAGAGACCAGAUCAAACACAGCAUAUGCUUCGUUCUAGUGUUCCGUAACCAUGAAGAAACUCAAUUAGUUUUUUUUACGGCGUAUGGACCCCAAUGUUACGCUUCAAUUAAACAUAACAUGAUCAUCCUGUAACAGAACAUAUGGUUUUAGAUGGUUUUGUUUCAUGUUAAAUGUAUGUACAGCUGUCUUGCUGUUCCAAUGUUGUUUUUUUCAUUAAAGAUUAUGUUUCAGAUAUCUGUAGCAUUCUUUGUCUUUUUUUCCCUACACCAGAUAGUAUUCCUGUUUUCCCACAGGACACCUAGCAUAGCAAGGCGCUAACAACAGAGAGGGAAGGAACACCAGAUAGUAUUCCUGUUUUCCCACAGGUCGCCUAGUAAGGCGCUAACAACAGAAAGGGAAGGAAGUUUAUAUUUCCAGACCCAGCCUGAGACCUCAGGAUUGGAUACAGUAAGCCACGAAUCCUGGACCAUGAACCAUCAAAGCGACCAGGGCAGCAGAGCAGGCUAAUAGCUAAUAGCUAAUAACACAACAGAAGGAGUCUGAGGGCUUCAUAGGCCUCCAGAAGAGAACACGAUUGUGCUUUAGAUGCAGGC